ACUGUUGAACCAGGCUUAGCCAAGCACCUCUGAGUCCUGUGAUAAAAAGCUACAAAGAGCUCAUGAGUGGGAAACAGGAAAGUAACGGGAGUGAGGUUGGCAUUGCUUCUACAAUCUAUCUGGACUGCCCUCUGCCUGAGGCGAUAUAGCAGGUUCUUUCAAAGGAGCACAGGAGUGAGAGCCAGGGCUCUCUGCCACCUUCCAGCCACGUGACAAAGGCAGAUCAGCUCCACGAAUGAGGAUAAAGCCUACCUCUGGUGAGGACCCUCAGAUCCAGGUGUGUGUAGAAAACGCCACAUUCAACCUCAAGCUGCCUUUGAAAGGUUUUGACCAGGGUGCUGUUCUUUGAGAAUCUUCUGUUGACCCUGAUGAAGAUGCCCCUGCCCAGACAACGCGGACCACUCCCAGCCAUUGUGUUGCCUCUCAAGACUCCAGGCUGAGAAGGGUGUAAGCAUGGGCCCCUGUCCAGAGUAGAUAUGUCACUCACUUGGCUGUGACUCUGGUGAACUGGCUGGGGUGUCCUAGGAGAUCUCUGUGUCAUGCAGAGUCGGGCAGGACACACUGAGGUCCAUCUUCCCAGAGAACACUUUAUGCUCACUGAGUCUAGGUGGUGCCAGCCAUCAAGCCAAGGGCUCCAGAGGCUCAGCAGAGAACCCCAAGAGCCUGGGAGAAAGUGGGAGAAAUGUUCAUGGAAUGUGGGGGAGCAAUGUCACAUUCAGACCUCAGGGAGGUUGGGGAGGACAGGGAACUGAGUGGGUACGCACUCCCCAGAGCCACGCUACCCACCUGAUUACCCUCAGCAGGGGACAGCCUGACAGGCAGGGCUAGGCUCUGCAGCCCACCUGGCUCCACUGGGCACGGCAGCCAGGACCUGCCAUACGUCAGGCGCCACGCUAAGCCCCUUGCCUAAAUUUGUAGCAGGCACCAGUUGCACACAGUCCAUCAUUCAAGUGGCUAAGACAUAGGACUUCAUUUUCUGUGACUCAGCCUUAUUUUUUUCUUCAAAUCUCCGUGCCAGUGGUGGCUGAAUCUUAAUCUCAGACAACUCAAGUUACAUUGCCACUUUCCCCAGGAGGAUGUCCUAGUUCCCAUGAGGAGGAGGGUGGCUGUCAUUACAGACAAGGCAUCAAGUGAGACAAUGGUGUCCAGAGUCCACUUGGUCGCCAUGGAGGUGCCCUGUGAUCCUGACGAUCCUGUCAGUCUGGGAGGGGACGGGACUGUCUAUCCACCUCUGGCUCACAGUUGCAUCUGGGACCCACCUGCUGCUUCCACAUCCUGAUGGAGCAGAACUCACAGUGGGGCUGUUUGAGGCCAUGACCUUGUCAUGCUGCCCAGCCCUUUCCUUUUGCUGGGCCUCAUGGCCUCCCCAGGAUUCUCCCCAUGAGCGGAGCCUAGGUCCC
Molecule: long non-coding RNA, 1400 nt
Organism: Bos taurus (domestic cattle)
Lineage: Eukaryota; Metazoa; Chordata; Mammalia; Artiodactyla; Bovidae
Source: Ensembl